UACGAAGGGGGCUAGCGUUGUUCGGAAUUACUGGGCGUAAAGCGUAUGCAGGCGGAUUGUUAAGUCAGGGGUGAAAUCCUGAGGCUCAACCUCAGAACUGCCUUUGAUACUGGCAAUCUUGAGUCCGGGAGAGGUUAGUGGAACUGCGAGUGUAGAGGUGAAAUUCGUAGAUAUUCGCAAGAACACCAGUGGCGAAGGCGGCUAACUGGCCCGGUACUGACGCUGAGGUGCGAAAGCGUGGGGAGCAAACAGG
RNAcentral lists this ribosomal RNA (253 nucleotides) under uncultured bacterium. RNAcentral's name for it is "partial 16S ribosomal RNA". It matches the Rfam family "Bacterial small subunit ribosomal RNA", at positions 524 to 776 of the family's 1533-position model. The record is from RNAcentral.